Molecule: ribosomal RNA, 497 nt
Filed under: uncultured bacterium
Lineage: Bacteria
Description: partial 16S ribosomal RNA
Rfam family: Bacterial small subunit ribosomal RNA
Source: RNAcentral
GAUGAACGCUGGCGGCGUGCCUAAUACAUGCAAGUCGAGCGAACGGACGAGAAGCUUGCUUCUCUGAUGUUAGCGGCGGACGGGUGAGUAACACGUGGAUAACCUACCUAUAAGACUGGGAUAACUUCGGGAAACCGGAGCUAAUACCGCAUAAUAUUUUGAACCGCAUGGUUCAAAAGUAAAAGACGGUCUUGCUGUCACUUAUAGAUGGAUCCGCGCUGCAUUAGCUAGUUGGUAAGGUAACGGCUUACCAAGGCAACGAUGCAUAGCCGACCUGAGAGGGUGAUCGGCCACACUGGAACUGAGACACGGUCCAGACUCCUACGGGAGGCAGCAGUAGGGAAUCUUCCGCAAUGGGCGAAAGCCUGACGGAGCAACGCCGCGUGAGUGAUGAAGGUCUUCGGAUCGUAAAACUCUGUUAUUAGGGAAGAACAUAUGUGUAAGUAACUGUGCACAUCUUGACGGUACCUAAUCAGAAAGCCACGGCUAACUACGUG